This 72-nucleotide transfer RNA is filed under the name Scedosporium apiospermum. It matches the Rfam family "tRNA". Rfam says of the family: Transfer RNA (tRNA) molecules are approximately 80 nucleotides in length. Their secondary structure includes four short double-helical elements and three loops (D, anti-codon, and T loops). The record is from Rfam by way of RNAcentral. Lineage: Eukaryota; Fungi; Ascomycota; Sordariomycetes; Microascales; Microascaceae.
AAGAGAUUAGCUUAAUAAUAGAGUAGUUAUUUUAUAUACAAAAGGUUAGGUGUUUAAAUUGCCUAUUUCUUA